RNAcentral lists this ribosomal RNA (277 nucleotides) under uncultured archaeon. Its description in RNAcentral is "partial 16S ribosomal RNA". It matches the Rfam family "Archaeal small subunit ribosomal RNA", at positions 703 to 982 of the family's 1478-position model. The record is from RNAcentral.
UGUGUGACUGUAGUCACUGACAUUAGACUACCCCUGUAGUCCAGGGUGUAAACGCUGCAGACUUGGUGUUGGGAACCCUUCGGGGGUGCUCAGUGCCGGAGAGAAGUUGUUAAGUCUGCUACUUGGGGAGUACGUCCGCAAGGAUGAAACUUAAAGGAAUUGGCGGGGGAGCACCGCAACGGGAGGAGCGUGCGGUUUAAUUGGAUUCAACGCCGAAAAACUCACCAGCAGCGACUGUUACAUGAAAGUCAGGUUGAUGACCUUACUAGAUUUUCAG